Molecule: small nuclear RNA, 58 nt
Filed under: Schistosoma mattheei
Lineage: Eukaryota; Metazoa; Platyhelminthes; Trematoda; Strigeidida; Schistosomatidae
Source: RNAcentral
GCGCUUCGGCGGUGCAUAUACUUAAUUUGGAACGAUACAGAGAAGAUUAGCAUCGCCC